RNAcentral lists this ribosomal RNA (395 nucleotides) under uncultured bacterium. RNAcentral's name for it is "bacterial SSU rRNA". It matches the Rfam family "Bacterial small subunit ribosomal RNA", at positions 505 to 898 of the family's 1533-position model. The record is from RNAcentral.
GUGCCAGCAGCCGCGGUAAUACAGAGGGUGCAAGCGUUGCUCGGAUUUACUGGGCGUAAAGCGUACGCAGACGGUGAGAAAGGUCGGAUGUGAAAGCCCCGGGCUCAACCCGGGAACUGCAUCCGAAACCAUCUCGCUCGAGUGUGGGAGAGGGAAGCGGAAUUCCUGGUGUAGAGGUGAAAUUCGUAGAUAUCAGGAGGAACACCGGCGGCGAAGGCGGCUUCCUGGCCCAUUACUGACGUUCAGGUACGAAAGCGUGGGUAGCAAACAGGAUUAGAUACCCUGGUAGUCCACGCCGUAAACGAUGUGUGCUGGAUGUCGGGGGUAUUCACCCCCUCGGUAUCGAAGCCAACGCGAUAAGCACACCGCCUGGGGAGUACGGCCGCAAGGUUGAA